Molecule: ribosomal RNA, 483 nt
Filed under: uncultured bacterium
Lineage: Bacteria
Description: partial 16S ribosomal RNA
Rfam family: Bacterial small subunit ribosomal RNA
Source: RNAcentral
AGUGAACGCUGGCGGCAGGCCUAACACAUGCAAGUCGAGCGGCAGCGGGUCCUUCUUGAUGCCGGCGAGCGGCGGACGGGUGAGGAAGGCGUCGGAAUCUGCCUUUUUUUUGGGGAUAACGUAGGGAAACUUACGCUAAUACCGCAUACGACCUACUGGUGAAAGGGGGGGACCGCAAGUCCUCACGCGGAAAGAUGAGCCGACUUGGGAUUAGCUAGUUGGCGGGGUAAAGGCGCACCAAGGCGACUAUCCGUAGCUGGUCUGGGAGGAUGAUCAGCAACACUGGACCGGAGACACGGCCCAGACUCCUACGGAAGGCAGAAGUGGGGAAUAUUGGACAAUGGGCGAAAGCCUGAUCAAGCCAUGCCGCGGGUGUGAAGAAGGCCUUCGGGUUGUAAAGCACUUUUGUCCGGAAAGAAAUCCUGUCGGCUAACACCCGGCGGGGAUGACGGUACCGGAAGAAUAAGCACCGGUGAACUUCGU